This 550-nucleotide long non-coding RNA is filed under the name Homo sapiens (human). RNAcentral's name for it is "long intergenic non-protein coding RNA 2188". Lineage: Eukaryota; Metazoa; Chordata; Mammalia; Primates; Hominidae. The record is from RNAcentral.
AAUAUUGAAAUUCUCACCUACAAUGUGAUGCUAUCAAAAGGUGAGGUCUUCGGGAGAAGUUUACUUCUUACUGGGUGGAGACACUUGGCAUUUGUAAAUGAGAAUACCAAUUUGAAGGAAGAUAAGAAAAAGAACAAAACCUCCUAGCAUAAACAGAGAUUGCUGGUGAGACAGCAGCCACUGCUCCCAGGCCCGACAACAGGGGCAGCACCAAAGCUGGUCAGUGUUUCCUCCUUACAGGUCUGAAGGUGCUGCAGAGGAGGGUGCUUCCCAGAGAUCACCCCUGUGACAGACAGAUCGAUUGAAGGACCCCUGAAUGGCUGAAUUGAGAAGAACAAGCAUAUUAGGAGGCCAUACAAUGGGAGCCUCUCAGGCAGACAGACAAAGCCGUGGAAACUGCAGACUUAUUUGUAUGUUCUGGUAAACACCUUUGCUUCAUUUUCCCCGUCUCCGCCUGGACUGAGGGUCACCUCACCUCUCCUGGUGUCCAGAGCCUCCUUCAGGACAGAUGUUGCAAACCUGAGUUCUCACAAACAGCGGGGUCCAGCCC